UACAGAGGUCCCAAGCGUUGUUCGGAUUCACUGGGCGUAAAGGGUGCGUAGGUGGCCGGGAAAGUUUGAUGUGAAAGCUCGGAGCUCAACUCCGAAAUGGCAUUGAAUACUAUCCGGCUUGAGGGUCGGAGGGGAGACUGGAAUUCUCGGUGUAGCAGUGAAAUGCGUAGAUAUCGAGAGGAACACCAGUGGCGAAGGCGAGUCUCUGGACGACUCCUGACACUGAGGCACGAAAGCCAGGGGAGCAAACAGG
RNAcentral lists this ribosomal RNA (253 nucleotides) under uncultured bacterium. Its description in RNAcentral is "partial 16S ribosomal RNA". It matches the Rfam family "Bacterial small subunit ribosomal RNA", at positions 524 to 776 of the family's 1533-position model. The record is from RNAcentral.